Molecule: non-coding RNA, 1079 nt
Filed under: Ixodes scapularis (black-legged tick)
Lineage: Eukaryota; Metazoa; Arthropoda; Arachnida; Ixodida; Ixodidae
Description: Eukaryotic large subunit ribosomal RNA
Rfam family: Eukaryotic large subunit ribosomal RNA
Source: Rfam by way of RNAcentral
CCCCUAUUAUUACGUAUUCAUGAGAAAUGUUACUUAUUAAUUCAUUUAAAGUGAACAGGAAUUCUGUGAAAUUAAUAGAUGGUGAGCUAUAUAAACAUAUUAUUACUAUUUUAGUGUUUCUAUUUUCUAUUUUCACGAUGAUUUUAUCUCGAUCUACUUUGAUAGGAAAAACUGUGACUGAGUUAUUUCUAAUUACAACAGCACAUAGAGGUUGUGCAUCUGCAGCAAUAACAAUGUCAUUCAUUGAACAACCUAUUAUUUUGUUGUUAUUAGAAUAAUAUGGUUCUUGAAUGAGUAUAAUGUCCGGUUUUAAGUCAAAAGCUACUCGAGAAAGAUUAUCAGCGGCAGCGCGUGUAUGUGCCAAGUUUAUUUGCAUAAUUUUUAGAUUUGAUGCCAUAUUUAGUUAACUUUUUUUUUUUUUUUUAGUAGGUUGUGCGAGCUCGCCUUUUUUCUACCUGCUGUUUGUAGAGAGGACAAGUAACAUCAUAGAAAGAAUGAUCAGUUGGUAUUGUUGUACCAUUCCUCUCGUUUGACUUGCUGCAAGCUGAGCAUUUUUUUUCAUUUGUACAUCUUUGCUCAUGUUGUGUGCUGCAACGGCCACAAACCGGUUCAGCCGCCUGACAAAACCGGCGCGUGUGUCCAUAUUGACAGCACCCACCCGACCCGUCUUGAAACACGGACCAAGGAGUCUAACAUGUGCGCGAGUCAAUGGGUCCCUCAAAACCCAGAGGCGCAAUGAAACGUGAAGGCGCGGCCUCGUGCCGUGCCGAGUUGCGAUCCCGGGCCGCCCAGGGGUCCGAUGAAGGGAGCAGCAACGGCCCGCCCCACACGCUCACGUCGUGGGGGCGGCGCUAGAGCGCACACGUUGGCACCCGAAAGAUGGUGAACUAUGCCCGGGCAGGACGAGGCCAGAGGAAACUCUGGUGGAGGUCCGAAGCGCUUCUGACGUGCAAAUCGAUCGUCCGACCCAGGUAUAGGGGCGAAAGACUAAUCGAACCAUCUAGUAGCUGGUUCCCUCCGAAGUUUCCCUCAGGAUAGCUGGCGCUUGUUGCGGAGACCAGUCACACCUGUAAAGCGAA